UUUGUCGAAAAAAUAGAGACCACCAUCCACAUCUACUUUGCCUGAAAAAAUAGAGAUCAUUAUUCAAAUAUUUUCUCUCUCUUCACCUCUCCCCCACGUCCCUUCUUCCCCAUAAAUCGAAGCACAAAUAGAAAAAAAAAAUCAUAAUCAAAAUAAAUAAAGAAAGAAUAUAUCUUUUAAGAAAACACUAUUAAUUUAAAUGUGAAUAAGAAAGAAGGCAUAUAGAGAAAUAAAAAUGAUAAAAUCCAUACAUAAUAUGGAGAAUUAACAAUGGUGAACAAGAGUGAGCGUGUAUAAUUUCUAUUUAUUUAGUUGAAAGUCUUUUUUUUUUUUAGAUUUGAACUUGUUUAUAUGCAAAAUUCAUUUUUAUAAUGAUUUUAAAUUAAAAUGGCACAUGUCUUCUUUGCCACAUCAUAUACAUGUGUAUUACACACUUCCUCUUUUAACUAAGGGUCAUGAAAAUGUUCAAUACGUAUUUAUUUUUCACCAUUAAAGUGACUAAUAUGCGGAUAACUUUAAGAGGUCAGACUUAAGCCUUUUGUUAAUUUGAGAUUUACUCUUAUUUACUAAUUGAGCAAUUAGUAUAGUAACGACUUAAUGGUUAUCUUAUCUAUCAUUUUGGAUGAUUUGCAUAGAAAAUAUAGACUAUGAAACAUUGUACGUGAUUUGCCAAGAAUACACGAAUAUAAUUUAUUUAAAAGAGUUCUCAUAUUUAACGUAAUUAUCUUGAAUAUAUUUAUAUUCACAUUAUUAACAUGAAAGAGAUAUUGAUUGACCUAGCUAACCAACUUAUUUUCCUCUUGAAAGUCAUCACUGUGUUUUAUUUGCUUUUUUUAUUUUAUUUCACGUGAUAUUAUUUCUUUAUGGGAAAAUUAUGAAUCCAUCCAAAAAGAUUAACGUAUUUCAAUGCAUUUUAUUCUAUCCUUAAUGAGAAGCUUUGAUAGAUAUACAAAUUUUAUUUCUUCUUCUUUUUAAACUUCAUGACAAAUCAAUUCCGUAACUGAAACAAAAGGAGUAUGAUAACUUAAAAAUGGAUUUAAACGUUAGAAAUUUUAGUGUUUAUCUAAUUGUAUCAUAUAAUCAGAGGCGGAGCCAGGAUUUCAGACUUGUGGGUUCUAAAUUUAAAAAAAAAUAACGAUCUUAAAAAUCACAAAACACAAAUUAUGUUAAUGAGAUGUUUGUCAUGUUUGAAAACAUUACCUUAGAUAUUGUUAUUCUAAAAACUUAUUUUAAUAAUAUGAAGAUUUGAGUAAUUUAAUUUAAAGUUCUAAAAUAUUGUUAAUGAAAGAUGAAUAAUUUUUUAAAUAUAAUUCUUGAAUAUUUUCCCCCAAACACCUCCACCCCCAGGGGCAGACCCACAAGAAGUUACAAGCAGAGGCGGAGCCAGGAUUUCAGACUUGUGGGUUCUAAAUUUAAAAAAAAAUAACGAUCUUAAAAAUCACAAAACACAAAUUAUGUUAAUGAGAUGUUUGUCAUGUUUGAAAUCAUUACCUUUUAAUAAUAUGAAGAUUUGAGUAAUUUAAUUUAAAGUUCUAAAAUAUUGUUAAUGAAAGAUGAAUAAUUUUUUAAAUAUAAUUCUUGAAUAUUUUUAUUAUAAUAUAAAAUACUAUUUUAAGUGAGAAAAAAAUAUUUAAUUCACCAUUAAUAUUUUCGCACCUAAAAUAUAUAUUUUACUAGUUUCAUUGUGACCUUGAACUAUUACUACCUUCAAAAGUUAUAAUGUUGAAAAGCAAAUAACAAUUAUUCACUAUAAUCAAUUAUCAAUAUGUGGGAUAACCUUAGAAAAUAUUAAAAAUUGAUUUUUGAAUAGAUAAUUCUACGGUGUAAAAGCAAACAAAUAAAAAAAAUGAAAAAGGAGAAGUGAGAGUACAUAGUACAUAUCGAAGGCAGAGGUCGGAUGAUAGCAAUCAGAUCAACAAUAAAAGUUAGAAUCCUAACUUUUGAAAAUAAAUUUGGGCUAAAAUUUUUGAAUAGAAAUCAAUGAAAUUAUAUUUGGGUUAAAUUUUUUGAAUAUCUGAGUAGAAAUCAAUAGUUAGCUAUUGUUUUAAAGUAUGAUCCAAACACUUUUUUUUAUUAUCAUUAACCGUUUUUCUGUUUUUUUUUUUAUAUAUAUAAAUUAUCAUUUGCCAAUUUUCUACUUUUUAUAAAAACAAAAAUCCAAUGUUUUUAUCUGAAAUUAAUUCCAAAAACUUAGUGCCGUGAGCAGGUUUCGAACCCAUGAUCAUUAACCGUUUUUCUGUUUUUUUUUUUUUAUAUAUGUAUAAAUUAUCAUUUGCCAAUUUUCUAUACCGGUUUUCUAUUGUUUUUAAAAAAAUAUAUAAAUUAUCAUUUGCCAAUUUUCUAUUUUUUAUAAAAACAAAAAUCCAAUGCUUUUAUCUGAAAUUAAUUCCAAAAACUUGGUGCCGUGAGCAGGUUUCAAACCCAUGGCGCGUGUAUUGAAUGAUUUCACUGGGUGCGGGGAGACCACUGGGCCACCCGACUCAUUGUGUUAGAGGAUUCACAGGAAAUUUAUAUGUACGUUUUAUUUGAUAAAAUCUACGGAAAAGUCAGUGGGUUCUCCCGAAACCCCUUCCGCUACAGUAGCUUCACCCCUGCAUAUAAUCGACAAGUGCCAAUUAUUGGGUACCAAUUUACAACAUUUUCUUAUCAUUUUACUUUAUGAAUAGUGAUCGCAAUUAUUCUAAGUACGUCUACUAUCUUGUCAGAUAAAUAGUAUGGUAAAGCAAAGAAACUUGUUUUGUGGACGUAAUUUAUCAUUAACGCCGACAAUAUUAAUAAGCAUUGAAAAUGUUGAGCUAACCUAAGUAUAUUAACUAUACAAGCAAACGAGGGUUGAAGUUUCAAAAAGAAAAAUCAAAGCUCAUACCUAAUUGACACACACAUAACAUGUAGCUGGAGGCCAUAGCUGCCGCGUGGAACCAAAAUUUGAACUUUAUAGGUUCUAAAUUUUAGGAUAACAACCCUCGGGUAUUGGUAAUUGAUUUUUGAAGGGUAAUUAGGACAAAAAUAAUUUAGUUGCGCACUGAAUAAACAGUACCAAGUUAAAUGGUUAUGAGGUAAUGAGAAGCAAUAUAACAUUAUAAAUAAGAGCUUCCGUCACAUAAUUUAUAGCAAACUCACUAAAAAAAGUAUAGGAGAGAUGGAAUGGGAAUGGAGUUAUCUGUGUUUUUCUUCAAUCAUCUUAUUACCAGUUUUGAUCCUAUUUUUUUCUCAGAAAAAGACUACAAAAUGUUCUUACAAAUUACCUCCAGGACCACCUGGAUUACCAUUUUUUGGUAACAUGUUUGAACUAGGAACAGAGCCCUACAAAAGAAUGGCAGCUCUAAAACAGAAAUAUGGCCCUGUAUUGUGGUUAAAACUUGGCACCUCAACCAACAUUAUGGUUGUUCAAACAGCUCCGGCUGCUGCAGAAUUAUUUAAGAACCAUGAUACUUCCUUUGCGGAUCGAUUCAUACCUGAUGUAAAUCAGGCACAUAGUUACUAUCAAGGGUCCUUGGCCAUAGGCCGAUAUGGCUCAUUUUGGCGCUUUCAGAGACGGAUAUGUACUGUGGAAAUGUUUGUACACAAAAGAAUCAGUGAAACAGUGCCAGUAAGGCGAAGAUGUGUGGAUAAUAUGUUAAAAUGGAUAGAGAAAGAAGCGAAUUCAGCUGAAAAAGGAAGUGGGAUUGAGGUAACACGUUUUGUGUUCCUAGCAUCGUUUAAUAUGCUAGGGAAUUUGAUUCUGUCGAAAGACUUGGCUGAUCCAGAAUCCGAGGAAGCCUCGGAUUUCUUCAAUGCCAUGAAGAGAAUCAUGGAGUGGUCAGGUAUUGCUAAUGUUUCUGACAUAUUUCCAUUUCUUAGAAAGUUUGAUUUUCAAAAAUUGAGGAAGAAGAUGGCACGAGACAUGGGGAAGGCCAUUGAGAUCAUGUCUAUGUUUCUCAAGGAACGCGAGGAAGAGCGAAAGAAGGGUGCGGAGAAGGGGAAAGAUUUCUUGGAUGUGUUGCUUGAAUUUGAAGGCACUGGAAAAGAUGAGCCAGCUAAAUUAUCAGAACAUGAGAUCAAAGUAUUAAUAGUGGUAAGGUUUUUUAAAAAAAAUCUCUACACUUAUCUUUUCAACAUCAAUGAUUUUCUUUUCAAUUAGUUGUAUCUGGAGCAGAAAAAUGUGUUCUGCUUAGGGAAUAUUUUAUGCUCCUCAGGCCUCAGUCUUCACUCAACAAUCUUCAUUCCUUGUCUUUUACUACUAUUGCUCACUUUAAUUAUGAGGACUAAUUUGAUUGAAAAGUUAAUGUAAGUUCUUUUGAGAUCUUUACACAAAUAGCCGGCUGGGUUCACUGUUUCACUUUUCCUAUCUGGUAUACAUAUACUAUACACUGAUUAUAUACGGUUCUGCAUCAGGAAAUGUUUUUGGCCGGUUCAGAGACGACGAGCAGCAGCGUAGAAUGGGCACUAACAGAGCUCUUGCGCCAUCCAGAAGCAAUGGACAAAGUGAAAACAGAGAUAUCAAAAGUAAUAGGACCAAACAGCAAGUUUGAAGAAAGUGACAUCGAAAACCUUCCUUAUAUGCAAGCUGUAAUCAAAGAAUCGCUUCGUUUACAUCCUCCUCUGCCUUUCUUGCUCCCAAGAGAGACAAUUCAAGACACAAAGUUCAUGGGGUACGACAUACCAAAAGGAACUCGAGUUCUGGUGAACACCUGGGCUAUUGGAAGAGAUCCUGAAUGUUGGGACGACCCUAUGAGUUUCAAGCCCGAGAGGUUUCUUGGCUCAAAAAUAGACGUGAAGGGUCAGCAUUAUGAGCUAAUUCCAUUUGGUGCAGGACGGAGGAUGUGUGUUGGCUUGCCUUUAGGCCAUCGAAUGAUGCAUUUUGCUCUGGGAUCAUUGCUUCAUGAAUUCGAUUGGGAGCUUCCUAAUGGUGUCUCUCCUAAAUCUAUCAAUAUGGAUGAAAGCAUGGGUGCAACAGCCAGAAAACGUGACUCUUUGAAAGUAAUACCAAAAAAGGCUUUAGAACUCAUCAAUCUUUUCGAGCCAACAAGUAUGUCUUUAUAAUUAUGUAUGCAUUUUUUUUGCAUAUGUUCCUUAUAAUAAGUAUUUGCAAUCUUAGUAGCUCAGUUGGUUGACCACCUAAAAUUUAACCUUGUUGGUGAAUGUUCGAUUCCCCACCCUACCCCAUUUUAAAAAAAUGUAUUUGUAAUGCUAACUGGAGUUUCUUUAGUACAAUAUUUAUAGUAUGUAUCUAGAUCUUUGUCAACAAGAUUGUAAUUUGGAGAAAUUCAUGUGUGAUAAAUGUAAUACUUAAAAUCAAUUUUAGCUUGAAUAGUCUUUACGAAGUUGCUUAUGAAUCAAACUUUGAAUGUCUUUUUGAAGUCUCGCAUGCUUUUUUGAUGGUUAGGUGUGUCACACCCCUUUUUCGCACACGGUUGCGGAAGGGUUUUUCCAAUUAAAGUGACGCUAUUGAUUAAGAGAUUAUUUUAUUUUCGUUUUAGAGUCGCCACUUGGAAUUGAGUUAUGGUGUUCCAAGUCACCUUUUGUUUAAUCCUUAAUCAAAAGGAAAUGACUCUUUAUAUGGUUUGCGAACUAGAAAUUCGGGUAAGGAAUUCUGUUGACCGAGGGGAAGGUAUUAGGCAUCCCUCGAGUCCCGUGGUUCUAGCACGGUCGCUUUUAUUGACUUCUACCUACUUUAAAUCAUUUGUGGAUAUAUUAUUUUCAGGUCAUGACUUGUUUGCAUUUUUAUUGUUGAACUUUUAUUUGGUCUCAAAUCGGAUGCAUAACUGCAUUCUCGACUUUUGACAUAUAAAUACCUUAUGAACAUAAUUGUUUUCUUCUCUCGAGUGCAUCACCUAAUUUUAUCUAUAAGUGAUCUUAUUUUAAAUUAAUGAAAGUUAUUAUAUUUUUGGACAAGGUGCGUCACCGCAUCCUUGAGUUUUUUUUUAAUGUUUCAAAAAAGAUGUGUAACCACAUUUUUAAUUGAAACAAAUAUUAUUUUUUAUAUGCCUAAAACCCAUCUAAUGUUAUAAGAAAAUAUUAAAUAAAAUNNNNNNNNNNNNNNNNNNNNNNNNNNNNNNNNNNNNNNNNNNNNNNNNNNNNNNNNNNNNNNNNNNNNNNNNNNNNNNNNNNNNNNNNNNNNNNNNNNNNNNNNNNNNNNNNNNNNNNNNNNNNNNNNNNNNNNNNNNNNNNNNNNNNNNNNNNNNNNNNNNNNNNNNNNNNNNNNNNNNNNNNNNNNNNNNNNNNNNNNNNNNNNNNNNNNNNNNNNNNNNNNNNNNNNNNNNNNNNNNNNNNNNNNNNNNNNNNNNNNNNNNNNNNNNNNNNNNNNNNNNNNNNNNNNNNNUUUUUAUUAAUCCAACAAAACAAUGACGAAUUGCUAAAAUAAAUCUCAUUCUUUAUUUAAUAAAUAAAACAACAAUAAUUUUGUGAACCCAAUAAUUCCUACUUUAUCAUUAUUAGCAUCGAAAUCAAGAAAUGAACAACAUCAUGACCCAUUCAUUUUAAGACAUCACAACUAAUGAACGAAAAUAGAUAAAUAAAAAUAACCACCAAUAAAGUUACUUUCAUUCAUUAAAGAGAUAUAACACUUAACACAUUCUUCAUUUUAAUCAAAUUAUGAAUAAAAUAAAAGUGUAAGAAAACUUAUCAUAAUAAUUACAUCAAAUUCCAUAAAUAAAUUAAAUAAAAAGAUAAAGUAAAGUUGAAUACCGCAAAAUCUUAACCGAAGCUCGAUUAGAACACCCACAACUUUUGUAGGUUGUUUGUGAUGGUAUAUGUGUUUGUGUUGAUAUGAAAAAAAAUGGGUAAGGAAGAAAAGAUGUGAAUGUGUUGGUGAAUUUUUAAAAGAAGAAUCCAACAAGGAUGUGUAUUUUUUGGUUUCUUUGUAUUUGCAGAUUGUGCUUUUUCUUGUUUCCUUUUUUCUGUUUUUUUUUUGUCUCUCCCUGUAUGUGUAUAUGGUGUUGUCUAUAUAUGGGAAAUGUAGGUGUAGUAGUGUGUAGAUGUGUGUGUAGACAGUAGUGGUGUAGUGGUGUAGUGUGUAGACGUGUGAGUAUGUGUGUAUAGUGGGGGGGAUUAUGGUGUAGUGAGGUGAAAUGGGGUUGUGGGGUAGUGUAGAUAUAUAUAAAUAUAAAAUAUAAUAAUUAAAAAUAUUAACUAAUUAUUCUUAAUUAAUAUAAAUAUAUAUAUAAAAAAAAAGCUAGUUAAAAAAUAAUUAAGAAACACUAGUUUAUUUUAUUAAAUAUACAUUAAAAUAAAACGUAUGUUUUUUGUAGUUUCCUAAUCUUUUAAAAUAAACUUACUAAAAUACGAUGAAAAAAAUAAAAAUAAAAUAAAAAAAAUAUUUGAUUUAUAUAAAAAAGCAAUAUUCAUGUACUAAAAAAAAGGUGUAAUACCUUAAGUUCGGUCAAAAAUUACGUGUCUACAAGGUGUGUGGGCAAGUUAUGUUGAUGUUGGCACCUGGGCUUCUGGAACCACCCUCCAUUCUGGAGCCAGAGGGUUCUGAGUAACCUCAAUCUCACAUUUAAAGAAGUGAUUAUCUAUCUUGAAAAAAUCCUUGUCGUCUACACUAGGAUUUUUUUUUAAUUUUGUUCCUAUAAGAUAUGAAUUAUUGAAGGCUAGCAAGUCUUUUUGGUUUUCAACUUCAAAGAGAUCUAGAGAAAUACAAUAUCGUAAACUCCAUUUUUAUGCAAUAGCUCGCAAACCACACAAAAUCGGUAAACUGCACUACACAAGCCCCGUUCAACUAGCUCGACCCAGUAGACAAACCCUCUACUCUUGCAGACAAGGGAUUUCGAAUUUGAGACCUUCAUUAUGGAUGUCCCAAGCCAAACCAUCUAAGCAAGGCAAUAUUAUAUCCCAUAACCAACAUAAUAUUAUAUUUGGAAAUCAUGUCUCCUUUGUAAGCAAUAAGAAAUUGUUGGAUUGGUACAAGUCGUAUGUCGCUCUAUGUGGACAAACUAACAUGUUGUAUUCUAGGUGUUUUGAUGAUCCUCACAAAUGCAGGGACCCGAUCCCUGGCAGAGUGCUCUCAUCCAAGUUCAAAAUGGUGUACAGUUGUAAAGUUGUUUCACCAACCGUACUUCACCAAUAGGAAGGGCGGACGAGGUUGUUUGUUUUAGUGGUCAAAACUCGUGUUGGUGAUUGAUAUAUACAACAAUAAACAAACAACAUUAAUCAUUCAAAAAGAGAGAGAGCUAAGCAAGUCUUUUCAAGAACUCAAGCAUCAAAGAACACACUGCAAGGGACCUGGUCCCGGAAAGACUGCGUACGUGAAACAGACAAAAAAACAGCUGUCAAAAAGUUGUCAACUCUUAUAUGGUUGGUGCACGUCUUUUUAGAGAAGCAAGCUCUUUGGCAAUGAUGUCGUCCUCAGGGGUUUGGGUCCAUUUGAUAUAGUCUCUUCUCAAAAGACACAAACUCAAGAUUUGACAAACAAAGUAAAAUUUCUGAAAAUUCAUAAGCUCACAAAGAAGAAGUCAUCUUCAAGGAUGAACAUUGUUCAUACUCAACAAAGGACCUAAUGAAGUGCUGAAGCGUCGUUGUUGUAUUUUUGAGCUUUGUGUUUUAUGUUCUUAUAUUGUAAAUCUAUUCCUAAGUUAUAAAGGCUAGUAGAUCAGUUGCUUGUCUAAGUCUUUAAUUUGAGUCGUAUUAACUAGAGCUAGUUAGUUGAAUCAUCUACGUUUUUAGUCAAGCCUUUUUGCAUCAUUGUUUUGAUGUUCUCUUGGGUAGAGUUGCCUAGGAAUGUCAACAAGAGUUAGUUGAUGUGUGGUGCAGCAGAGUUGCUGCUUGUUUAUGCUCUUAUCAUCGAGAUCAGAGUUGGUGGUUAGCCUUGUUGGGUUCUUAAAGUCUAGAUCAAUUAGAGUUAAUUGGUUUAGUGGGAAAUACAGUUAUUGCUUAGUUUCCUUUGUUGUAGAGUUGCUACCGUAAGGGGGAAGGGAUUAAAGAGAUUUAAUUCCUAAGUUGCAAGAGUUUGUAAUCUGAAACUUUGCUCCGUUUGAGUGAUGGAGUUUGGGUUGAAAUCCUGUGAGUACAGGUCGUGGUUUUCACCGCCCUUGAGCAAGGGGUUUCCACGUAAAAUCCUUGUGCUUGAUUUACUUUGAGUUAUCUAUUUUCCGCACUAAUAUUAUGUCGAGGGACUGGUCCAAUGAUCACUGGUGGACGCAUCCAUUCUAACAUAACCCUUUAUGAAAGAAAUAAAAUACAAAAACACAUACUCUCUUCUUUUCUUUUAAUAACUAUGGUAUCUGAGCCAACUUAUGCGCACCUCGACUAAUUCCACAGAAUACAUGUCACCUCCUCCCAACAAUAUGAACCAAGUAACUCUGUCCACCUAGGACAAUUGGAAAGAAAUCACGUAGUGAUUUUGUCUAUGCUAGGAUUGAACCCGAGAGAUCAUGAAACUAUCAGUUUCCAAGAUAAACGUAGUCAGCUUGAAGCAAUUUCUUUUUCGACACAGAUUCUACAAGACUUCAACUACUAUUACCAUGUACGUAAUCGUUGUUCAUGCUACUGUUUAGUUCUCAGAAAUUGGAAGAUUUCAGUCUUUCCAAUUUCUUCUUCUACAUAAAUCUUGAUUAGGAAGAGGAAAUGGAAAUAUCAUAGUAGACAAUGAUCUUCUAGGUUUUCUUUUUUGGGUAAUAAUGAAGUUCUAGCUAGUAAAGAUAGUAAGAACAACAAUAUACCCCUACCUCAUGGAAGUAGAGAAAUUAUUUCCGAAAGACCCCCAACUCAGGCACCGCAUAUCAAAGAAAGGAAGUCAAAACAAAUACUAGAAAAAAACAUUGCAUAGCAUGGAGGAAAAAGGAACCGUAACAACAGCAAAAGUAAAGAUAGCAAGUAAAAUUUGCAUAAAUCCAAAAGCACACCCUCUCUAAACCUCCGAGAAAAUGAUCAAAAUGGUCCUUAAUGUAUGGGUUUGAUUCCAUUUUGGUCCUUAAUAUAUGAACUUGAUGGAAAUUGUCCUUUAUGUAUCAUAAAUUGUGAUCAAUUUGGUUCUUAACCCUAAAAUUAAUAUAUUUCUUUUUUUUUUGUCCGUCAAAAUACACGGAAUAUGUAAAAGAUGCGCUCGUUCAAGACUUUCCUUCCCUUGUUUCCAAAAAUUCCAAAAGGGCACAUCUAAUUUUUUUUAACCAAAGGUCAAAAUCGCUCCUGACAGAGCGAUUUUCUUCUGACAAAAUUGACGCCAUUACUCCUUUAAAAAACAUAAAAAUCGCUGCCGGUCCAAAAAAAAAUUUCUUUUUUCUUUAAAAUCGCUAGUGUGAAAUUUUUUUAUCAACGCUACCCCAGCAGCGUUUAAAAAAUAGAAAUAGCUGCUAUAGCAGCCAUUUUCUUUAAAAAGUUUAAUUUUUUUUUUUGUUAAAAAUUCCCAAGGCGAGGACUUCUUAAAAAAAUAAUGGAAAAUCGCUCCACAUGUAGCGAUUUUAGUUUAAAUUUUUUUUUUAAAUAAUCGCUGCCAAAGCAGCGAUUUCAGUAAGAAUUUUUAUUAUUAUUUUCCAAUUGUUGCUAGCAAUCAAAAUGUAUACAAUAAAAAAUUAUAAAGUAACUCAAUUGGGAAAUUAGCGAUUUCCCAUUAUUUUUUUAAGCAGUCCUCGCCUCGGAAAUUUUUAAUAAAAAAAAAUUUAAACUUUUUUAAGAAAAUGACUACUAUAACAGCUAUUUCUAUUUUUUAAACUUGUUAAAAAAUAAAUCACAGCAGCGAUUUUAAAGAAAAAAGAAAAAAAAAAUUGUAUCGACAGCGAUUUUUAUGUUUUUUAAAGGAGUAACGGCGUCAAUUUUGUUAGAAGAAAAUCGCUCCGUCAGGAGCGAUUUUGCCCUUUUGGUUAACCACAUUUUGAUGUGCCCUUUUGGAAUUUUUGGAAACAGGGGAAGGAAAGUCUUGAACGAGCACAUCUUUUACAUAUUCCGUGUAUUUUGAUGGCAAAAAAAUAUAUAUAUAUUAAUUUUAGGGUUAAGGACCAAAUUGAUCACAAUUUAUAAUACAUAAAGGACCAUUUUCAUGAAGUUCAUAUAUUAAGGACCAAAUGGAAUCAAAGCCCAUACAUUAGGGACCAUUUUGAUCAUUUUCCCCUAAACCUCCCCACAAUAACUUCCAUUUUAUGCAGAAGAAAACUAAACUACUCUUGAGUAUUUAUAUAGAGAAGAUCAUUGUCACUGUCAGAUGAGAAACCAUACAAAAACUAUAACAAUUAAUGCAAAAUAUUAAUCUGUUAGACCAUUAUCACAUCACAAAAUUUGUUUAUCACCAAAAACUUAGCGAAAUAACAAAGGAUCAAAAUAAAAUAUAAUGUAAACAGAAAUAUAGUCUUUAGAUUCAAAAUUGAGACUCACAGUGCUGGUGUGGUAGUUUCCUCUUUUCUACGCAGCAUUUAAUCAGAUGACUCGCGCAUAUUCCUUCACCAAAUUCCACAUUACAGCAAACAAAUUUCAAAUUAGGAUGAAAAAAGAAGCAGUGAUAAAUAUACCGAUCAACAAAUUGGGCAGAUUAACUGCAAAUUCCAAAUAUGACACACUAAUUCUCAUAUACAUACUGAUCGUAGAAGUUCGCCGCCAGCGGAGAGGAUGUUCGAGGAGGAGCAAUUAGCGCCACCGCAGGCGAAAGUGAAUCAGCGGUGAUAGGCCAUGACUUAGGGCUCGAUAAAUCUCCAUCGCCAUUUCCCCAAUUUUCCUCUUAUGUGAAGAAGAAGGGGAAAAUUACUUGUGAAUUGCAAAAAGGAGAAAAGAAGAGGGAAAAGGGUGGGUCGGGUUUGAGUGAAAAUUUCGC
RNAcentral lists this long non-coding RNA (11716 nucleotides) under Solanum tuberosum (potato). RNAcentral's name for it is "long non-coding RNA (STUB_LNC010273)". Lineage: Eukaryota; Viridiplantae; Streptophyta; Magnoliopsida; Solanales; Solanaceae. The record is from RNAcentral.